GGCCCAGCCACACCACGAGGGAAGGGCUCUGCUCUGGCUUGUGUUUUCUGAGCUGGCUUCCUGUGCACAUAGUAGAAGUGGUGUUGCAUGAGUAUUUUUUCAGGUGGCGAUGCUGCCCAGCCUGGAUUAGCUUGUGAAGUCGCACGCCUUCCUGGAGGUGUCCGAUCAGACAGAGCGGAGCCAGCUCUGCCCUCCAGGUACUGCAGGAGCUCUCAUCUGCCAGCUUGGGCCACUCUGGAGGACUGCAGCAGCUCAGCCCCGUGUGACCGUGGCUGCUCUGCGCAGCGAUGCCGAGGGCUCUGCUUCCCCUCCCCAGACACUGGGCUCUGCUUCUGUGGAUCGAGAGCAUCCACUUCUGGGUUUCUGGUGUCUUCUACUUCCAAAUAGCUGUUCCACAUCCAGCUGCUACCCAUAGAAUCAUUAAGAUUGGAGAAGGCGUCUAAGGUCAGCUAGUUCAACUGCUGCCCAUAACCAUGACGCCUGCUAAACCACGUCCCAUCUUUCCUUACAGCCCGAAUCUCACUUGUUGAGUUCCAGCUUAUGCAGCCAGUGUUUCCAUGGCACCUUGGAUGCCACUGUCAGAACACAACACAGGUCUCUGGCUCUUACUGCGCUUUGCUCCUUACUUAUCCCAGUUUGCUUAGGCACGCGUACUCGAUGAGGAUGUUCAUGGCAUGGAUCUCAAUUGACCUGAGCUGGUUGUGUCCGUUUCUGAGAUUGGAAGAGCUGUCCUUCUCGUGCAGAGCUGGGAGCUCAUCACUCUGGCCGCUUUCCUCCUCUCCUUCGUGACAGAGCACUUCAAAGAUGCUCGACAUCCGCCUGGCUUGGCCUCUUUCCUCACAGAGCACAGUGCUGGGAGCAGAGCCCUGCAGCUAUCGGCGUGCGCUGAAUUGCCCUUU
This 899-nucleotide long non-coding RNA is filed under the name Gallus gallus (chicken). Its description in RNAcentral is "long non-coding RNA NONGGAT005766". The record is from RNAcentral. Lineage: Eukaryota; Metazoa; Chordata; Aves; Galliformes; Phasianidae.